Molecule: ribosomal RNA, 373 nt
Filed under: uncultured bacterium
Lineage: Bacteria
Description: bacterial SSU rRNA
Rfam family: Bacterial small subunit ribosomal RNA
Source: RNAcentral
GUAGGGGGCGAGCGUUGUCCGGAUUUAUUGGGCGUAAAGAGCUCGUAGGCGGCUUGGCAAGUCGGGUGUGAAAACUCCAGGCUCAACCUGGAGACGCCACUCGAGACUGCUAUGGCUAGAGUCCGGUAGGGGACCACGGAAUUCCUGGUGUAGCGGUGAAAUGCGCAGAUAUCAGGAGGAACACCGGUGGCGAAGGCGGUGGUCUGGGCCGGCACUGACGCUGAGGAGCGAAAGCGUGGGGAGCAAACAGGAUUAGAUACCCUGGUAGUCCACGCCGUAAACGUUAGGCACUAGGUGUGGGACCUUAUCAACGGGUUCCGUGCCGUAGCUAACGCAUUAAGUGCCCCGCCUGGGGAGUACGGCCGCAAGGCUA